Molecule: unclassified non-coding RNA, 239 nt
Filed under: Hevea brasiliensis (rubber tree)
Lineage: Eukaryota; Viridiplantae; Streptophyta; Magnoliopsida; Malpighiales; Euphorbiaceae
Source: RNAcentral
CGCCGCGGUCGGUGACGAAGUCGUAAGCGGUCAACCAGUUCUGCCGCACGAUGAUAGGAUCGACCGGGAUCGAACGCACCUGCUCGAUGAAGCGCGCCAGAUGCCAGGCGAUCUGACCGUCGGNNNNNNNNNNUGUAGUCAGCGAUCGCCGGCGCUACGGCUUGGGUCUGGCCGAGCUGAUCGACCUGCACCACCCACGGCACCACGGAGCCGCGCAUCGCGUGCCAGACGAGCCCUCA